This 447-nucleotide ribosomal RNA is filed under the name uncultured bacterium. RNAcentral's name for it is "bacterial SSU rRNA". It matches the Rfam family "Bacterial small subunit ribosomal RNA", at positions 355 to 825 of the family's 1533-position model. The record is from RNAcentral.
UGGGGAAUCUUGGACAAUGGGCGCAAGCCUGAUCCAGCCAUGCCGCGUGGAUGAUGAAGGCCCUAGGGUUGUAAAAUCCUUUCGUCAGGGACGAUAAUGACGGUACCUGAAGAAGAAGCCCCGGCUAACUUCGUGCCAGCAGCCGCGGUAAUACGAAGGGGGCUAGCGUUGUUCGGAAUUACUGGGCGUAAAGCGCAUGUAGGCGGGUCGUUAAGUCGGGGGUGAAAGCCCAGAGCUCAACUCUGGAACUGCCUUCGAUACUGGCGACCUGGACCCAAGGAGAGGCGAGUGGAAUUGCGAGUGUAGAGGUGAAAUUCGUAGAUAUUCGCAGGAACACCAGUGGCGAAGGCGACUCGCUGGACUUGUGGUGACGCUGAGAUGCGAAAGCGUGGGGAGCAAACAGGAUUAGAUACCCUUGUAGUCCCUGAGCGGGCUGGCAAGGCGCAU